This 2097-nucleotide ribosomal RNA is filed under the name Triticum aestivum (bread wheat). Its description in RNAcentral is "partial small subunit ribosomal RNA". The record is from RNAcentral. Lineage: Eukaryota; Viridiplantae; Streptophyta; Magnoliopsida; Poales; Poaceae.
AUGUCGGCGUCGCCGUCGAUGAGCGGCGGUGCCGGGGAGCGGACGCGGACGGUGGUGUGGUUCAGGCGGGACCUGCGCGUGGAGGACAACCCGGCCCUAGCGGCGGCGGCGCGAACAGCCGGGGAGGUGGUGCCGGCGUACGUGUGGGCGCCGGAGGAGGACGGGCCGUACUACCCUGGGCGGGUGUCCCGGUGGUGGCUCAGCCAGAGCCUCAAGCACCUGGACGCCUCGCUGCGCCGGCUCGGCGCCACCCGGCUGGUCACCCGACGGUCCACCGACACCGUCGCCGCGCUGCUGGAGCUCGUCCGCAGCACCGGCGCCACCCAUCUCUUCUUCAACCACCUCUACGACCCGCUGUCGCUGGUCCGGGACCACCGGGUGAAGCAAGUGCUGGGGGCCGAGGGCAUCACCGUGCAGUCCUUCAACUCCGACCUGCUCUACGAGCCAUGGGAGGUCCUCGACGACCACGGCUGCCCCUUCACCAUGUUCACGCCCUUCUGGAACACGUGCCUCUGUAUGGUCGACCCCCCCGCGCCCAUGCUGCCACCCAAGAGGAUUAAUUCAGGUGAAUUGUCGAGGUGCUGCUCAUCGGACGACCUCAUCUUCGAAGACGAGUCGGAGAGGGGGAGCAACGCGCUGCUCGCACGCGCGUGGUCGCCGGGGUGGCAGAACGCCGACAAGGCUUUCACGGCCUUCAUCAACGGCCCGCUCAUCGACUACUCCGUGAACCGCAAGAAGGCCGACAGUGCAAACACCUCACUGCUCUCCCCCUACCUGCACUUUGGCGAGCUCAGCGUCCGCAAGGUCUUCCAUCAGGUACGGAUGAAGCAGCUAACGUGGAGCAACGAGAGCAACGGCGACGGCGAGGAGGGCUGCAGCCUCUUCCUCCGCUCCAUCGGCCUGCGAGAGUACUCCAGGUACCUCGCCUUCAACCACCCAUGCAGCCACGAGAAGCCCCUCUUGGCUCAUCUCAGGUUCUUCCCCUGGGUGGUCAAUGAGGUCUACUUCAAGGUCUGGAGGCAGGGUAGGACCGGCUACCCUCUUGUCGACGCCGGCAUGAGGGAGCUUUGGGCCACCGGCUGGCUGCAUGACCGCAUACGUGUCGUCGUCUCAAGCUUCUUUGUCAAGGUUCUCCAGCUGCCAUGGCGCUGGGGGAUGAAGUACUUCUGGGACACCUUGCUGGACGCCGACCUUGAGAGCGACGCGUUGGGCUGGCAGUACAUCUCCGGGUCUCUGCCUGAUGGCCGUGAGCUCGACCGCAUUGACAACCCGCAGUUUGAAGGCUACAAGUUCGACCCAUGCGGGGAGUACGUCCGGCGAUGGCUGCCGGAGCUGGCGAGGCUACCAACGGAAUGGAUACACCACCCCUGGGAUGCACCCGAGUCUGUGCUGCAGGCUGCAGGAAUUGAGCUAGGUUCCAAUUACCCUCUCCCCAUUGUUGAGCUAGAUGAAGCCAAGUCCAGAUUGCAGGACGCCCUGUCAGAGAUGUGGGAGCUUGAGGCAGCCUCUCGUGCUGAGAUAGAGAAUGGAAUGGAGGAAGGCCUGGGAGACUCCUCAGACGAGCCACCCAUUGCCUUCCCCCAAGAGCUGCAGCAUAUGGAAGUGGACCGUGCCACUAUCCAUACACCAGCGAUGGCUGGCCGGAGACGAGCAGAUCAGAUGGUGCCUAGCAUCACCUCUUCCUUUUUCAGAGCUGAAACAGAAACAGAACUUUCUGCGGCUUUUGAAAGCGAAGUGACUAGGCCGGAGGUGCCAUCACAGGUGCAUUUCCAGCCUCAGACUCGGAUGGAAGUCAGGGAUGAAGUUGCCAGCGACGACACUGCUGCCAGAUACAACGGCGUCCAGCAGCAGCAGCAGUAUACCCUACACCGUCACCGUGUGCAGGGCGGCAUAGCACCAUCCACUUCAGAGGCAUCAAGCAGCUGGACUGGGAGAGAAGGUGGGGUAGUACCCGUCUGGUCGCCUCCGGCUGCGUCAGGCCAUUCAGAUCCCUACGCUGCGGAUGAAACUGACAUUUCCAGUAGGAGUUAUUUGGACAGGCACCCGCAGCAGUCACAUAGGUUGAUGAAUUGGAAUCAGCUCUCCCAGUCAUCGUGA